UGAACCUUAGGGAAAAGCCGCAU
Molecule: microRNA, 23 nt
Filed under: Aegilops tauschii
Lineage: Eukaryota; Viridiplantae; Streptophyta; Magnoliopsida; Poales; Poaceae
Description: ata-miR5062a-5p
Source: miRBase by way of RNAcentral